Molecule: long non-coding RNA, 429 nt
Organism: Hemiscyllium ocellatum (epaulette shark)
Lineage: Eukaryota; Metazoa; Chordata; Chondrichthyes; Orectolobiformes; Hemiscylliidae
Exons: 3
Source: RefSeq, a predicted model, not a curated record
GGAUUAAUACUGCAGCAUACCUUAUUUAUUUAAAACAACCUCAUGGUUGGAACAUGUCUGAACAAUAAAGGUUGGAAGUUUCACACAGCUUCAACUCCAUGCUUUAUUGGUUCACAAAAGAAGAUGUGAGAUGAGGAGUACCAGGUGGAGAAUCGAAUCCCUUCUCUGGAACAUACUCACUAAAUGGGGGAAGAAGUCAGCUUUGCAGUGUACUAUGGUAAAAUGUCUCUAAUUCUUUCAAUUGGAACCUGUGUUUGGAAAUCAACACAAAGACACAAGAGGACGCAAAUAAUGUUGUUUAUGGUAAUGGUACUGGAAGAGUUAAUUUUAAAGCUGCAUUAAGCUCCACCCAAUCACACAAAAUGUGGGUGGAGGUGAAGGAGUCUGAUUCAAUGUCACACCGGAGACAGAUGACUCAUGUCUGGCUUU